CGGGGAAACUUACCAGGGCCAGAUAGCAGGAGGAUUGACAGAUUGAGAGUCUUUCUUGAUUUGCUAGGUGGUGGUGCAUGGUCGUUCUUAGUUGGUGGUGUGAAUUGUCUGGUUAAUUCCGAUAACGAACGAGACCUUGGCAUGCUAAGUAGAUUCCUGGCAGGCGGAGGGCCCGCAGCAAUGGGGGCCGGACACUGCGCAGCCUGGGGGAUUUCUUAGAGGGACUAUUCAUGUACUUUCUAGACUAAUGGAUGGAAGGACGAGGCAAUAACAGGUCUGUGAUGCCCUUCGAUGCUCUGGGCUGCACGCGCGCUACAAUGGUGGACUCAACGAGCCUAGUCCAGGAGGACGCCGGGAGGGGCGGGGGGGCAACCCCCUGUGCCUGCUGGGGCCCUUGCGGAUGAACCUAGCUCGAGAGAGCGGGGGAAUCUUAGGAGCGUCCACCAAGCUGGGGAUAGAUCAUUGGAAUUAUUGGUCUUGAACGAGGAAUUCCUAGUAAGCACAAGUCAUCAGCUUGUGUUGAUUACGUCCCUGCCCUUUGUACACACCGCCCGUC
This 556-nucleotide ribosomal RNA is filed under the name uncultured eukaryote. RNAcentral's name for it is "bacterial SSU rRNA". It matches the Rfam family "Eukaryotic small subunit ribosomal RNA", at positions 1206 to 1677 of the family's 1831-position model. The record is from RNAcentral.